UGGAGUCGUCCUUGAAAUACCACCCUUGUAGUUUUGAUGUUCUAACGUUGGCCCCUGAAUCGGGGUUACGGACAGUGCCUGGUGGGUAGUUUGACUGGGGCGGUCUCCUCCCAAAGAGUAACGGAGGAGCACGAAGGUUGGCUAAGUACGGUCGGACAUCGUACGGUUAGUGUAAUGGUAGAAGCCAGCUUAACUGCGAGACAGACACGUCGAGCAGGUACGAAAGUAGGUCAUAGUGAUCCGGUGGUUCUGAAUGGAAGGGCCAUCGCUCAACGGAUAAAAGGUACUCCGGGGAUAACAGGCUGAUACCGCCCAAGAGUUCAUAUCGACGGCGGUGUUUGGCACCUCGAUGUCGGCUCAUCACAUCCUGGGGCUGAAGUCGGUCCCAAGGGUAUGGCUGUUCGCCAUUUAAAGUGGUACGCGAGCUGGGUUUAGAACGUCGUGAGACAGUUCGGUCCCUAUCUGCCGUGGGCGUUUGAGAAUUGAGAGGGGUUGCUCCUAGUACGAGAGGACCGGAGUGAACGAACCGCUGGUGUUCGGGUUGUCAUGCCAAUGGCAUUGCCCGGUAGCUACGUUCGGAACUGAUAAGCGCUGAAAGCAUCUAAGCGCGAAGCAGGCCUCGAGAUGA
This 628-nucleotide non-coding RNA is filed under the name Pseudoalteromonas porphyrae. RNAcentral's name for it is "bacterial LSU rRNA". It matches the Rfam family "Bacterial large subunit ribosomal RNA", at positions 2181 to 2807 of the family's 2925-position model. Lineage: Bacteria; Pseudomonadati; Pseudomonadota; Gammaproteobacteria; Alteromonadales; Pseudoalteromonadaceae. The record is from RNAcentral.